CCAGUACCGUGAGGGAAAGGCGAAAAGAACCCCGGCGAGGGGAGUGAAAAAGAACCUGAAACCGUGUACGUACAAGCAGUGGGAGCACAGGUUUACCUGUGUGACUGCGUACCUUUUGUAUAAUGGGUCAGCGACUUAUAUUCUGUAGCAAGGUUAACCGUAUAGGGGAGCCGGAGGGAAACCGAGUCUUAACCGGGCGUUAAGUUGCAGGGUAUAGACCCGAAACCCGGUGAUCUAGCCAUGGGCAGGUUGAAGGUUGGGUAACACUAACUGGAGGACCGAACCGACUAAUGUUGAAAAAUUAGCGGAUGACCUGUGGCUGGGGGUGAAAGGCCAAUCAAACCGGGAGAUAGCUGGUUCUCCCCGAAAGCUAUUUAGGUAGCGCCUCGUGAAUUCAUCUCCGGGGGUAGAGCACUGUUUCGGCUAGGGGGCCAUCCCGGCUUACCAACCCGAUGCAAACUGCGAAUACCGGAGAAUGUUAUCACGGGAGACACACGGCGGGUGCUAACGUCCGUCGUGAAGAGGGAAACAACCCAGACCGCCAGCUAAGGUCCCAAAGUCAUGGUUAAGUGGGAAACGAUGUGGGAAGGCCCAGACAGCCAGGAUGUUGGCUUAGAAGCAGCCAUCAUUUAAAGAAAGCGUAAUAGCUCACUGGUCGAGUCGGCCUGCGCGGAAGAUGUAACGGGGCUAAACCAUGCACCGAAGCUGCGGCAGCGAACGUAUCACUUAAAGCGAUUCAGCGGGUUACGAUUGACGGAGCGAAGCGACGUCAAAGCGUAUACAAAGUCGAGUCGGUUUAAGGAUACGUUCGUUGGGUAGGGGAGCGUUCUGUAAGCCUGUGAAGGUGUGUCGUGAGGCAUGC
RNAcentral lists this ribosomal RNA (862 nucleotides) under Salmonella enterica subsp. enterica serovar Infantis. Its description in RNAcentral is "partial 23S ribosomal RNA". It matches the Rfam family "Bacterial large subunit ribosomal RNA", at positions 495 to 1273 of the family's 2925-position model. Lineage: Bacteria; Pseudomonadati; Pseudomonadota; Gammaproteobacteria; Enterobacterales; Enterobacteriaceae. The record is from RNAcentral.